Molecule: long non-coding RNA, 1995 nt
Organism: Piliocolobus tephrosceles (Ugandan red Colobus)
Lineage: Eukaryota; Metazoa; Chordata; Mammalia; Primates; Cercopithecidae
Source: Ensembl
AUGGAAAGUAGGAAGAUUUUUCGAAAGGGUAAAAGUAUCGUUCAUGGUCGUACUGGCCCACUAAGAGGAGAUGCAUUUAACGAAAAUGAUGAAAAAAAAAAUGCAUGGGACAAUGAGAAUUUGAAUACUCUUCCUGCUAAUAAGAAUUAUAACAUACCAAAACCUAGUAUGAAUAAUAAUAAUAAUAAUAAUAAUAGUAGUAGUAGUAGUAUAAAAAAUGAAGCAAAUGAUGAGGUACAAAAAAAUAAAAAUAAUACAGAUGUAAAUACUGAAGAAGCAAUAAAUCCCCAUUUUAAUGCUACUACUGAUGAACAUACAAGUAAUGAUAUUUUUGAACAAUUGUUACAACGAGAAUUAGCGAAGGGAGCUUAUGGUGGAGGUGUUAUUGAAAAAAAUGCUAAUAAAUUGAAAGAAAAUGUUGCAAAUGUAAAAACUGUAAGUAGUAGUAACAAUAUGAACAUAGAUAAUAAUGAAAAUAAAAACUUUAACCCAAAUAUGGGUAAUGCUAUUGAUGGUGAUGGAGAAGAUUUAAGCAAAAUAGAUUUAAUGACUCGAAUAAACAGUUCUUUAGUUAGACAUCGAAUGCAUGGAUAUAGUGAAGUUUUACUUUGUUUUGGUACAAGUGAGGAUGAAAAUGAUGAAAAUUUUGAAAACAUUGAUGAGAAUAAAAUAAAUAAAGAAAUAGAUUUAGUUAAUAGCGUAUUUAAGGAUGAUGAUAUGAUUUUAAAAUAUUUAUCAGAUAAUAAUACUAUAUGUCAAAUAAAAGCAGCAGAAAUGAUUGAUGAAUACUUAAGUGCUCUUAAAAGAAUUCAUAUUUAUAAUAUAAUAAAUAAUAAUAGUAAUAUUAAUAAAGAAGAAAUAAUGAAUUCUUUUGUAAAUGAAAAUAGGAAUAAAUUAUUUAAUUUAUUUAGUAAGAUAUAUAGUGUAUUAUGUGAAAAGGUAUUAACAAAUAAUAAAUCAUUUGAUAGUGGUUUUAAUAUUGUAAGUAAAAUAAUAGAAUUUUGUUCUAAUGAAAAAACAACUGUAAAUAUUUUGACCUUACUCUCUGAUCAUUUAAAUAAUAUAUGGUUAAAAGCAAAUAAAUCAAUAUCUAAUAUAAAAGGAGUAAAAAUAAAAGUAGUCUCUUCCAUUAUUUUAUUAUAUUAUAAAUUAGUUGCUUCAUUUGGGGUAAAUAUUAUAUGUGUUAGAACAAUAAACAGAUGUUGUUUAAAAUUUAAUGAAAUGGUAGAUAAAACAGUUAAAACUAAUUUUUAUUUAUUAUACAUUGAAAUAUUUAAACAAAUUAAAAAUCCUGAUUUUCAAAACAGUAUACUAAACGAAUUACAUGUCCAACAAAAAAACCAUAUAUUAAAAGAGUUACAAAAAGGAGAAAGUGGUACUAAUGAUACUGUCGGAUCUUCUAAAAAUACAAACAUAAAACAUAAGAUGUAUUUACUUAAUCGAUAUAGUUCUGUUGAUAUGUAUGGAAAUGAUAAAGAUAUUGAUGGAAGUAAUAAUCGUAGUGGAAACUUUCAAAUGAAUACAAAACCAUUACUUGAUGAAUCUGACGUAUUUAAAGAAAUAUGUUCAAAAAAUUGGGAAAAAAGAGUAUUAGAAGGUGUGAUUGAUAAAACAGAAACUAGUAAUAGUACUGGUACUAAUUUAACAAAUGAAAACUUGUUACCAUGGAAAAUAAAAGUAGAAGCUUUAAACUUGUUAUAUGAUCGAAUAAAAAUAAAAUAUGCUAUUAAAAAAACAAGUUAUAUUAGUACAUUAUUAAAUAUUAUUUCUAAAUUGUUAAAAAAUGAGUCUGCAUUACCGGUGGUAGUAUCUACUAUAAAAUUAUUACACAUAUUGAUUGAAAAGUUUGAAAAAGAAAUACAUAGUACUGUUAAAACAUUAUCUUUCAUUUUAUGUUCAAAAAUUAAAGAUUCAAAUAAACAAGUAUGUAAUGCAUCUAUGGAAUGUUUAAUAAAAGCUAUUUCGAUUUAUAAUAUAGAUACUUUUUUUGGAUGA